RNAcentral lists this ribosomal RNA (460 nucleotides) under uncultured Sphingomonas sp. RNAcentral describes it as "bacterial SSU rRNA". It matches the Rfam family "Bacterial small subunit ribosomal RNA", at positions 18 to 524 of the family's 1533-position model. Lineage: Bacteria; Pseudomonadati; Pseudomonadota; Alphaproteobacteria; Sphingomonadales; Sphingomonadaceae. The record is from RNAcentral.
CAGCCCUCAGAACGAACGCUGGCGGCAUGCCUAACACAUGCAAGUCGAACGAGACCUUCGGGUCUAGUGGCGCACGGGUGCGUAACGCGUGGGAAUCUGCCCUUGGGUUCGGAAUAACACUUAGAAAUUUGUGCUAAUACCGGAUGAUGACGAGAGCCCAAAGAUUUAUCGCCCAGGGAUGAGCCCGCGUAGGAUUAGCUAGUUGGUGAGGUAAAGGCUCACCAAGGCGACGAUCCUUAGCUGGUCUGAGAGGAUGAUCAGCCACACUGGGACUGAGACACGGCCCAGACUCCUACGGGAGGCAGCAGUGGGGAAUAUUGGACAAUGGGCGAAAGCCUGAUCCAGCAAUGCCGCGUGAGUGAUGAAGGCCUUAGGGUUGUAAAGCUCUUUAACCCGGGAUGAUAAUGACUGUACCGGGAGAAUAAGCCCCGGCUAACUCCGUGCCAGCAGCCGCGGUAAU